AUUAAACGCUGACGGCAGGCCUAACACAUGCAAGUCGAACGGUAACAGAGAGUAGCUUGCUACUUUGCUGACGAGUGGCGGACGGGUGAGUAAUGUCUGGGGAUCUGCCUGAUGGAGGGGGAUAACUACUGGAAACGGUAGCUAAUACCGCAUAAUGUCGCAAGACCAAAGCGGGGGACUUUCGGGCCUCGCACCAUCAGAUGAACCCAGAUGGGAUUAGCUAGUAGGUAGGGUAAUGGCUUACCUAGGCGACGAUCCCUAGCUGGUCUGAGAGGAUGACCAGCCACACUGGAACUGAGACACGGUCCAGACUCCUACGGGAGGCAGCAGUGGGGAAUAUUGCACAAUGGGCGCAAGCCUGAUGCAGCCAUGCCGCGUGUAUGAAGAAGGCCUCCGGGUUGUAAAGUACUUUCAGUCAGGAGGAAGGGUGUGAAAUUAAUACUUUCAUGCAUUGACGUUACUGACAGAAGAAGCACCGGCUAAUUGCGCG
This 490-nucleotide ribosomal RNA is filed under the name Enterobacteriaceae bacterium AaD52f. RNAcentral describes it as "bacterial SSU rRNA". It matches the Rfam family "Bacterial small subunit ribosomal RNA", at positions 30 to 507 of the family's 1533-position model. The record is from RNAcentral. Lineage: Bacteria; Pseudomonadati; Pseudomonadota; Gammaproteobacteria; Enterobacterales; Enterobacteriaceae.